GGCAGGGUGGGGAAGUUGGUCAUCCCGAUGGGCUCAUAACCCGUAGAUCGCUGGUUCGAGUCCAGCCCCUGCAACCA
This is a transfer RNA of 77 nucleotides. It matches the Rfam family "tRNA". From Rfam's summary of the family: Transfer RNA (tRNA) molecules are approximately 80 nucleotides in length. Their secondary structure includes four short double-helical elements and three loops (D, anti-codon, and T loops).